Molecule: unclassified non-coding RNA, 106 nt
Filed under: soil metagenome
Description: partial internal transcribed spacer 1
Source: RNAcentral
GUGAACGCCCUCACGGGCUUAUACUAUUCCAAACCUCUGUGAACCGUGCCCUUCGGGGCUAUUUUACAAACAUGGUGUAAUGAACGUCAUAUAUCAUGACAAAACA